Molecule: long non-coding RNA, 7045 nt
Filed under: Nicotiana benthamiana
Lineage: Eukaryota; Viridiplantae; Streptophyta; Magnoliopsida; Solanales; Solanaceae
Description: long non-coding RNA (NBEN_LNC040027)
Source: RNAcentral
UCCAGAAACAAAUAUCAAUAUAAUUUUAUUAAUAAGGUAAAUGCAUGAUGAAUCAUACAAUUUCAUACCCAGCCAACUUUUGUAGUGGCGUUUAUUGUAAUUUUGAAAUAACGUGUUGUUCACUUGACUUUCUUUAUUAUACAUACAUGUAAAUUAAACAACACAAAAUCAAAAGUUGUUGACUUGACUUUCUUUAUUAUACAUGUAAAUUAAACAACGCAAAAAUCAAACUGCAUAAUGGGGAUGUGUACAAGAGCUUGUCUCCGCUGCACGCUAAACCACCGUGUUACAUAGAGAAAAACCAAGUUUAGUGGGUUGACAAGCGCAACAAACCCAACAAUCGUUGCAAUCAAAGCUAGAAUUACAAGAUCUAAAACAAGUGUUGAGUUGUGGGAGUAGUCUCUUCCUCAUUCCUAAUAGAUUAUGAUCAACAUCCAGUGCAGCUCUGACUGUUGUGUUUGUCAAAAAGGGCACAUGUGCUACAAAUAUUCGUUAUACAGGGAAUUAGAUGUAAAUUCAUGCUUUAAUAUGAAAGAUAUACACAGUCAUGUAUAUAUAAAACUACAUACAUAAUACAAGAUGUAGAUAAUAUAUAAUUAAAAUUUACACUUAAACGUAAGCGGUACUUACUAGUUGCCACCAUGACGAGAAUAGCGAGCACAAAAGAAUUCUUUAGCAACAUCAUUGUGUUAUAAAAGUUUAUGAGUGGCUAAUUACUUCUAAAAUGUCGUAAUUUAUAGACCUUCUUGAGAUCAAACUACAUCUCUGGCAUGUGCCGUACUUGCUUCGUUUUUUGCUUUUCUAGAUUAUUUAUUAUCUUGCUUCAAUGUUCACUUCAAGCACGUGUUGACCUCCCAUUUUAAAAUUGGAUAUUGAAGAAGUAUUAUAGAGUUAAAGUACUUCCUACUUGCCCUCUAUUAAAGAAACACUACUAGAAAUCAAGUCAUUUCCGUUCAAAGAGUUUUGAUCGAAAUGGGUCGGAAAUAUUUUCGACCGAAAUCGAUCGCAAAUAAAAAAAACCGGUCGCAAAAGUCAACGAAAAUUUCCUGCCACCAAAAAAACUAACAUUUCCGACCGAUUUCGCUCGGAAAUUGGUCAAAUAUUUAGUCAAACAAAAACUUUUUUAAUUUUCCGACUGAUUUCGAUCGGAAACUGGUCAAAUAUUUCGUCAAACCAAAACUUUUCCAAUUUUCCGACCGAUUUCGGUUGGAAAUUAGUCGAAUAUUUGGUCUUCCAAUUAUAAAAUGUAUAAAAGUUUCAAAAUUUCCGACCAAUUUCGGUCGGAAAUUGGUCAUAAUGUCAAAUUCAUUAUUUAUUAAUUUUUUUCAAUUUUUUGACCGCUUUUGGUCGGAAAACAGUCAAGUAUUUCGCCCACCUUAUACCAAAAUAAUUAUUUAUUAAAAAACCUUUAUUUCAAAAAAAAAAAAGUUUUGACCAAUGUCGGCCGGUUAUUAGUCAAAUAUUUGGUCAAUCUAAAUAUUAUGUACGCACAUGAUUACCAAAAUUUCGACCGAAAUUGGUUAGAAAAUGGUCAAAUAUAUUGUCGAGCUUUCUACUUAAUGUACAAAAACUAUUAUUUACUAAAAUAUUUCUAAAUUCCGACUGAAUUUGGCCGGAACGUUUUUGUUUCUUUCAUAAGACAAAAAAUUUGUAUAUUUAUUUAACCAAUCAAUGAUUAAUGUUUUUAUACGAAUUAAAAAAUAUAAGUUUAAUAAUAUUAUGUGAUAGUAAAGAGGUUUUAAAUAAAUAAUAUUUAAAAUUGUGUGUGUGUGUGUGUGUGUGUAUAUAUAUAUAUAUAUAUAUAUAUAUAUAUAUAUAUAUAUAAUGUUUUAUUCAAUAUACCUUAUAUACUAUACACUUAGUUAUAUACAACAUUAUAUUAUGUAGUAGUGAUUGUUUAUCUUAUAAGUUGAUAAUUACACUGAUAAUAACAUUAAGUAGAAUUGUAAGUAUCCUCAAGAAAUGUUAACUACUGAUUAGUUUAUGAAUUGAUAAUAACCUAAGUAGAACUGCAUUAGUAGUAUCCUUAAUUAAGUAAUGUUAGGCUCGAUUAUACUAUUAAUUGAUAAAUAUAUUAUGUAGAAAUGUAUUAGUAACAUUUAGCUUAUAAAUUGAUAAUAACACUACCAUAGUCGUCGGAAUUAAUGUAAAAAACAAUUAUUUACUAAAAUAUUUCUACAUUUCCGACUCAAUUCGGUCGGAACGUUUGAAUAAAAAAAUUCUAUAUUUAAUUAACCAAUCAAUAAUUAAUGCUUUUAUACGAAUUAAAAUAUAAGUUCAAUAAUAUUAUGUGAUAAUAAAGAGGUUUUAAAUAAAUAAUAUUUUAAAUAAAUCACUUCUAUAUUAUGUAGCAGUGACUGUUUAUCUUAUAAGUUGAUAAUUAUACUGAUACUAACACUAAGUAGAAUAGUAAGUAUCCUCGAGAAAUGUUAAGUAUUGAUUAGUUUAUGAAUUGAUAAUAACCUAAGUAGAACUGCAUUAGUAAUAUCCUUAAUUAAGUAAUGUUAGGCUCGAUUAUACUAUAAAUUGAUAAUUUCAUUAUGUUAUUUGUGACAUUUAGCUUAUUAAUUGAUAAUUACACUACCAUAGUCGUCGGAAUUAAUGUAAUAAACAAUUAUUUACUGAAAUAUUUCUAAAUUUCCAACUGAAUUCUGUCGGAACGCUUGAAUACAAAUUUUUUGUAUAUUUAAUUAACCAACCCAGAAUUAAUGCUUUUAUACGAAUUAAAAUAUAAAUUUAAUAUAUUGUGUGAUAAUAAAGAGGUUUUAAAUAUAUAAUAUUUAAUAUUAUUUUUAUAUAUAUAAGCUAUAUUCGAUGUACUAUACUAUACUAUAUAUACGUCUCUCUAUAUACAUACAUACAUACAUAUAUAUAUAUAUAUAUAUAUAUAUANNACACAUAUAUAUAUAUAUAUAUAUAUAUAUAUAUAUAUAUAUAUAUAUAUAUACACACACCUUAAUAUAUCUAAAAUUAUAUCGAAUAUACCUUAUAUACUAUACACUUAGAUAUAUAUACUAUAAUCCCAAACGGGAUCGACCCAACACCCAAAAAUCUAGCUGUAAGAGAUUUCUCAUCGAUCCGUUCUUGGCUUCAAUCUUCUAAAAAAACGCCCCCACUUGAUUUCUCAUCUUCUCCACACACGCACAGUGUGGCUGGCUUCUCAUCUUCUCAUCCGUUCCCGGCUUCAAUCUUCAUUGCUUCUUUGAACUGGGGAACACAACUUAUAUCGAAGAUUUUCCUUUCUGUUUAACCAUCCGGUAUCCCUUAUCCAUCGGCUCGAUUAAUUUGGUUUGUAUAUAGUAGUUUGAGACUAAGGAGAUGUGUGAGCACGUGAUUUUUGCCAUACAUAAGAAUAAAUCCUAAAAAUAGACCGAAAUAAUUUUUUAUUAGUUUUAAGAAUUUUUCUUUAUUUAGUUGUAUUUCAUACAUUUUUAAUAUUUUUAAAAAUCACAGAAAAGUCAUAAAAAGUGUCACAUUUCAAUUUUAUGUCAUCUUAUGUUCAAUUUGCAUUUAGGAAUUAAUUACAUUGAGUUAAUUGUAUUUAAAAAAAAAAAGAAGAAGAAAAGAAUCAUGAAAAUGAUUAAUUUUUGCAUUUUAAUUUUAGUCUUUGAAUUUCGGUAGUUUUUCGUUUAAUUUGGUUUUAAUUAGUUGCAAUAAGUAUUAGUUGUAGUAAUUAGUUUAAUUUAAAAUAAUUAGACUAGGAAUUAAUUUAGGUAUUUUUUAGUUUUAAUUUAAAGGAAAUUAGAAUAUAUGAAAACAAAAUAGAGAAAUCAUAUUUUUGGGCCAAAUUUUAUUAAAAUUCAAGCCCAAUAGGAUUUCUUUUUUAAAAAACCCAACCCAAAUUAGCCUCUACCCAACUCCAAACCGGGUCAACCCGACCCAACCUAAUACCCAAAUCCACUUCCUAACCUAAAAGACCUAACAUACACAAAAAAUACAUAGACGGACACAAUACAGAGAUAGUUGCCUGAAGCGCAACCUUGGCUUCUUCUUUACACACAUAUACGCCUAUACACAGAAGAUAUAGGCCUGGAAGAGAGAGCGGCACAGCUGUGAUUUCUUCCUACCAUAUAUUCUGCUCUUACUGGUAAAUCAUUUUCUUCUAAGGCAAAAAAUGAUACUUUAUCUGGGGAAAUUCAUAAGCUACAUAUUACUUCAUUAAACUAUAAUAAAUAAUGGAAGAACCAAAGUAAAAACAAUAGCCUAAGAUUGGAUCUUUGUUCCCCCCUCCCCCCCCCCCCCGCGCACACACAAAUUAUAUUUUCAUAAUAACAACUUUACCGGGUAAUUAUUUUCCCAAAAUUUAUGUUUAUAACAGCAACUCGUCAAAGCAUAAACAUUGUUAAAUGCCAGCUGCGCAGCUUUUACAAGACCCCUCCGACGAUCUCUCUUCUUUGUCGACCAAGCGACACCUAUGGCUGAGCAACUCCGGCGAAUCACCAAACAACAAUCAACAAUAGAACUCCGGCGUUUUGAUGUCCAAAACAGUCGUCCAAGCUCGGUCAGAUUAUAUCCUGCAAAAAAAAUCUGGCAAGUUUCGAGUUUGCGAUUUUGGAGCUGUAACUCUGCUGCUCGUUGCACUGAAUUAAGUAUAGUUUCUCAUUGGUUUUCUCCGUCAAUUUAGCCAUUUUGAGGUAUUCUCUAAUUCUCGAUUUCGUUUCCUGUAUAGAUCUAGUAAAUCAUGUAUGUUCGUCAGUGAUCGUUGCUGGAAUAAAAUUAUCCGUUCUUCACGGUUGACUUCUAUUGUAGUUACAGCUGAACUCUAUCACUGUCACUGCUGAUUUAUGCUCCAUUGUGAUUUAUGUUUAACAGAAUUAAUGGUAGUCCAAUUUUCUGUUUAACAGAAUUGUGCCUGCGUUUUUCUCGUUGAUUGUAGAGGUGGCGGACUUGCUAGGUGACUGACGUGUGGGCUUGCACCAUAGGAAUUGUGACUUGGUCAAUUCUAUAAAACUGUAUAGUGGAAUACUCCAUUAAUAUCUGUACAUUAUCCAUGUGUUAUAGAUAUCGAGCUGUAAAUCAUGUUAGAAAUCAUUUUUAGGUUAUGUGUUGGUACUGCAGGGACCAACAGAGGACAUGCUAUAUGUUGAAUAUCUGUUAAGUUGUUGUUUUGUACUCAGUCACAUACUUGCUUGCAUAUUAUAUCUCAGUCCUUAUUUUCUUUACUGAUACAUUAUAUCAUCAUUGUUUGGGCUGUUUAUCAUGAUUUUUGAAAGCCUGAGAGACUUGAUAACGCUUGGGCUGAAGAGGUCCCUCCGGAGUAUUUACACACCCCAAUGAGCAUAUGCACAUACUGAGUGCCGAGCGCUGAGUGUCGAGUGUCGAGUGCAAGUGCUGAACGACUAGGAGAAAUGAGUGAAUGUGAGAUUGGAGUAAAUGGAAGGACUCAAUGACUGUUGCACUGAGAUUAUGCACUUGAUUUAAUUACUGUUAUACUUUGACGGGAAUACGUUAGUGUCAUUUAAUUAUGAGAGAUAUUAUAUCCUGUUUUAAUUGAACUUGACAUGAAUUAACUAUUUUGACCAUAAUUCUCAAACUUGAAAGCAUGCAUAUCUUCCUAUGUUGAAAUUUCUAUAUGAACAUAUCCGUGAAGCUCGCAACUGCUUUCAUGCAUUUAUUUACUCUUGAUAUUUAUUGAAUUGGUACUCACGCUACACCAUAUACUUCGUUUGCAGAUCCAGGUAUUUUCGGAUAAGGUCGGUGUUGAUUUCUCUGCGCAACUUGAUCAUUUGGAAAUUCCAAGGUAGUUGACCAGCGUUAGCAGACCUUUUCUCUCCUUCCCUAUCUUUUAGCUUUAUGCAUUUAGUUUUAGCCUUUCAUAGACAAUAGCUCCAUAUUUUUGUUUUGUAGGCGCUCAUGUACUCAAUAACAUCCCGAUAUUAGGAGUUUCUGUAUUGGGUUUUGACUUUUUAUCUAGUUUUUGAGAGUUUUGAUGAUUUAAAUUUGUAUUAAGUUAUUAUUCAUUUAAAAGUAUUGAAAGUAUUUUAAAGUGUCGGAUUACUUAAUACCACGCUAGGCGCCUUCACAAUAGGCUAACUUUUAGGUCGUGACAUCUAAGUUAUUAAAAUCAAUAGAGAACAUGAUCAAACUUUUAAAAUACUCAACAUGACAGUUUUAAAUUUUCCAAGAAAUGUGAUUUGCCUUAUAAUCACAUAAGGGUGUAUUAAAAUUUAAGGUGGAUUUGUAAAACAUCCAAACCAACAAAGAGUAAUUUUUACGUUGAAAGUUGAAAUAGAAGGUCGCAUUCCAUAAAGUUGAAGCAUAAAUUAAUACAAAUAAAUAAAAUCCAGAAACAAAUAUCAAUAUAAUUUUAUUAAUAAGGUAAAUGCAUGAUGAAUCAUACAAUUUCAUACCCAGCCAACUUUUGUAGUGGCGUUUAUUGUAAUUUUGAAAUAACGUGUUGUUCACUUGACUUUCUUUAUUAUACAUACAUGUAAAUUAAACAACACAAAAUCAAACUGCAUAAUGGGAUGUGUAGAAGAGCUUGUCUCCGAUGCACACUAACCCUCCGUGCUACAUACAGGAAUAGCAAGUGCAACAGAGUAUCGACAAGCGCAACAAACCCAACAGUCGUUGCAAUUAACGCGAGAAUUACAAGAUCUAAAACAAGUGUUGAGUUGUGGGAGUAGUCUCUUCCUCAUUCCUAAUAGAUUAUGAUCAACAUCCAGUGCAGCUCUGACUGUUGUGUUUGUCAAAAAGGGCACAUGUGCUACAAAUAUUCGUUAUACAGGGAAUUAGAUGUAAAUUCAUGCUUUAAUAUGAAAGAUAUACACAGUCAUGUAUAUAUAAAACUACAUACAUAAUACAAGAUGUAGAUAAUAUAUAAUUAAAAUUUACACUUAAACGUAAGCGGUACUUACUAGUUGCCACCAUGACGAGAAUAGCGAGCACAAAAGAAUUCUUUAGCAACAUCAUUGUGUUAUAAAAGUUUAUGAGUGGCUAAUUACUUCUAAAAUGUCGUAAUUUAUAGACCUUCUUGAGAUCAAACUACAUCUCUGGCAUGUGCCGUACUUGCUUCGUUUUUUGCUUUUCUAGAUUAUUUAUUAUC